RNAcentral lists this ribosomal RNA (440 nucleotides) under uncultured bacterium. RNAcentral describes it as "partial 16S ribosomal RNA". It matches the Rfam family "Bacterial small subunit ribosomal RNA", at positions 338 to 795 of the family's 1533-position model. The record is from RNAcentral.
CCUACGGGAGGCAGCAGUAGGGGAUAUUGCACAAUGGGCGAAACCCUGAUGUAGCAACGCCGCGUGUGGGAAGAAGGUUUUCGGAUUGUAAAACACUGUUCUUGGGGAAGAUCAUGAGGGUAACCAACGAUAAAGCUCUUGCCAACUACGUGCCAGCAGCCGCGGUAAUACGUAGGGAGAGAGCGUUCGCCGGAUUUACUGGGCGUAAAGGUUGCGGAGGCGGUCUGGCAAGUCAGACGGGAAAGCCACCGGCUCAACCUGUGGACGUCGUUGGAAACUGGGGGGCUUGAGUGAAGUAGAGGUAGGUGGAAUUCCGGGUGUAGCGGUGAAAUGCGCAGAGAUAGGGAGGAACACCAGUGGCGAAGGCGACCUUCUGGUCUUUAACUGACGCUGAGGUACGAAAGCAUGGGUAGCAAACAGGAUUAGAUACCCGAGUAGUC